GCUAGGGGAGCCUGUCAAAGGCUGAGAGUGGGUUCGUCCCAGACCCUUGGAACCUGAUGCAGUUGGUACUGCCGUAGGGAAGCGU
Molecule: non-coding RNA, 85 nt
Filed under: uncultured Bilophila sp.
Lineage: Bacteria; Pseudomonadati; Thermodesulfobacteriota; Desulfovibrionia; Desulfovibrionales; Desulfovibrionaceae
Description: TPP riboswitch (THI element)
Rfam family: TPP riboswitch aptamer (THI element)
About the family: Vitamin B(1) in its active form thiamin pyrophosphate (TPP) is an essential coenzyme that is synthesised by coupling of pyrimidine and thiazole moieties in bacteria. The previously detected thiamin-regulatory element, thi box was extended, resulting in a new, highly conserved RNA secondary structure, the THI element, which is widely distributed in eubacteria and also occurs in some archaea.
Source: RNAcentral